Molecule: ribosomal RNA, 550 nt
Filed under: uncultured Funneliformis
Lineage: Eukaryota; Fungi; Glomeromycota; Glomeromycetes; Glomerales; Glomeraceae
Description: SSU rRNA
Rfam family: Eukaryotic small subunit ribosomal RNA
Source: RNAcentral
UUGGAGGGCAAGUCUGGUGCCAGCAGCCGCGGUAAUUCCAGCUCCAAUAGCGUAUAUUAAAGUUGUUGCAGUUAAAAAGCUCGUAGUUGAAUUUCGGGAUCAAUAUUUCGGUCAUGCCGUUGGUAUGCACUGUUAUCAUUGAUUUCUCACCUUCUAAAGAACCGUAAUGCCAUUAAUUUGGUGUUACGAGGAAUUAGGACUGUUACCUUGAAAAAAUUAGAGUGUUUAAAGCAGGCUCACGCUUGAGUACAUUAGCAUGGAAUAAUGAAAUAGGACAUCCGAUUCUAUUUUGUUGGUUUCUAGGAUCGAUGUAAUGAUUAAUAGGGAUAGUUGGGGGCAUUAGUAUUCAAUUGUCAGAGGUGAAAUUCUUGGAUUUAUUGAAGACUAACUACUGCGAAAGCAUUUGCCAAGGAUGUUUUCAUUAAUCAAGAACGAAAGUUAGGGGAUCGAAGACGAUCAGAUACCGUCGUAGUCUUAACCAUAAACUAUGCCGACUAGGGAUCGGAUGAUGUUAAUUUUUUAAUGACUCAUUCGGCGCCUUACGGGAAAC